AAAAAAAAAAAAAAUGUGAUUGAGAUUUUGAGAGGAAUUGCCCUGAAUCUGUAGACAGCUUUCAGUAGUAUUGAUGUUUGAACAAUAUGAAGCCUUCAAGUUCAUGAAAAUGAGAUGUGCUUCCAUUUAUGUACGUCCUCUUUAAUUCAACAGUGUUUUGUAGUUUUCAUUGUACAGGUCUUUUCUCUUUGGUCAAGUCAGUUCUAAGCAUUCUAUUCUUUUUUUGAUACUGUUGUGAAUGGAAUAGUUUUUAUGAUUUCCUUUUCAGAUUGUUCAUUAUUCUUGCAUAGAAAUGAAACUGAAUUUUGUGUAUUGACUUUGUAUCAUGAUACUUAUGAGAUUAUUUAUUAGAUCUAACAGUUUUGUGAAAUCAUUUGGAUUUUCUAUUUAAAAGAUUAUAUCAUCCACAAACAUGAUUUUACUUGUUCCUUUUAAAUUCAGAUGCCUUUUUUGGGUGGAUAAUUUUCAGCUGUGUCACUGAGCCUUAGUAAUUUUACUAAUCCUCUUUGAAUAGAAUUUUUUUUAACUUUAAUUUCUCUUUCUUACUUAAUUGCUCUGGCUAGAACUUCCGGCACUAUGCUGCUUGGAAGUGCUGCAAGUAGUGCUGAAAGUAGUCAUCCUUAGCUUGUUCCCCAUCUUAGAGGAAACACUGUCAGUUUUUCACCAUUGAGGAUGAUGUUUGGUUGGGUUCUUCAUAUAUGGACUUUAUUAUGUGGAGGAGAUUCCUUUUAUUUCUAGGUCACUGAGUGCUUUAUCAUGCAAGGAUGUUCAGUUUUAUAAAAUGCUUUUUCCGUGUCAAUUGAGGUGAUCAUGUGGGUUUUUUCUUUCAUUUUGUUCACGUGGCUUAUUACAUUGGUCAGUUUUCUUAUAUUGAACCAUCCUUGCAUUCCAUGAAUAAAUUCCAUUUGGUUUAUUUUUAAGAUUUUGCAUCAGUGUUUGGCUAGGUUUGGGUUUAGUUUGCUUUUUUUUCUAGUUUCUUAAGUUGUAAAGUUAGGUUGUUAAUUUGAGAUUUUUCCUGUUUGUUAAUGUAAGUGUUUAUAGCUAUCAGUUUCCCCAUUGGUACCAUGUUCACUGUGUCCUGUAAGUUUGAUGUGUUUUCAUUUUUGUCUCUCUCAGUAUUUUAUAAUUUCCCUUGUGGGUUCUUCUUCAAUACAUUAGUGCUUUAAAAGUGUGUUGUUUAAUUUCUGCAGUUUUAUGAAUUUUCCAGUUUUCCUUCUGUUUUUUCUAACUUCAUCCCAUUGUGGUUAGAGAGGAUACUUUGUAUGACAGCUAUCUUUUAAAAUCUAGUAAGACUUAGGAGUUCCCGUCAUGGCGCAUUUUGCUGGAUAUAGGACUCCUGUGUUGAUAGUUUUUUUUUCUCUGACCACUUUGAAUAUGUCAGCCUACUCUCUGCUGGCCUCCAAAGUUUCUGAUAAGAAGUCUGCUGAUAAUCUUAUUGAGGAUCCCUUGUGCAUGAGGAUUUACUUCUAACUUACUGACUUCAAGAUUCUCUUGGUCUUUUUUUUUAAAGUUUGAUUAUAAUAUGUUUUGGUGUGGGUAUCUUUGAAUUAAUCUUACUUUGAGUUUGUUGAGCUUCCUGGAUAUUUUAUUUUUUUCAUGGAUCAUAUACAUAUGUCCAUUUAUUUAUGGAGAGCUUCCUGGAUAUUUUAACAUGUAUUUUUAUGUGGGAAAAAGUCAAUGUGCACAGGAGAAUUAUGAUAGGACAUCUUUUAAAAAAUAGUGUAUCAUUUUUGUCUGACUAGAGGAUAGCUCUAAAUAUAUGACAGUGGGAUUAAGGAAUUGUUUCUUAUUUUGUGGAUUUCAGUUGUUUAGAUUUUGCUAACAAAUAUGCAUUGCUUCCCACCUCCUUUAGAGAGAGAGCUUACAGAAUUAUAAAAGCAAAACAUUAAAAUCAUUUAAAUAAUAUAGAAGUAAGUGAAGUGCAUAUCUCACUUCCACUCCCCAGGGAUAAUCUCUUCUGGUUGAUGGUUUGUCUUUUCAGAAAAUUAGGUGCUGGUAGUAGGCAAAUGAAAGAAACAAAAUACAUCAAAAUUGGAAAGAAAACUGUCACCAUUCACAGUUGAUGUGAUCGUAUGUGUUGAAAACGGAGCAAGAUUUAUAGUAGAACUAUUAGAACUAAAACAUGAACUUAGCAAGGUUUCUAGACACAGGAUCAGUACACAAAAAGAUCAGUUAUAUUUCUACUUACUAGCAAAAGUCAAAUAAAAGUAAAAAUUUUAGAUACCAUUUAAAAAUAAAAUAUAUAAGAAUAAAUCUAUUGGCACAGCCCUGGAAAUCAACUAUAAUAAAAUUUUUUUAAGAAGAAUAAAUCUAGCAAAGAAUUUGUAUGAUCUCUAUGCUGAAAACUAUAAAACAGUACUAAAAAAAUUAAAGACGCCCUAAAGCAGGGAUUUACCAUGUUCGUGGAUUGAACAACAUCUUGAACUGUUAUUAAGAUGUCAGUUCUUCCCAAAUUGAUCUUAUGGAUUGACAUCCCAAUCAAAAUCCCAAUAGGCCAUUUGGAGAAGUGGGUGGAAAUUGGCAAGCUGAUUGUAAAACAUAAAUAUAAAUGCAAAGGACCCUGGAACCGCCAGAAUAAUCUUGAAGAAGAAGAAAGCCCGAGGACUUACACUGUAUAGGAUCCAGACUUAGUUUAGCUGUAGCUGUUGGUACAAAAGCAGAUCAGUAGACCAGUGCAGUAGAAUAGAAGGUCCAGAAACAGACCC
Molecule: long non-coding RNA, 2705 nt
Filed under: Sus scrofa (pig)
Lineage: Eukaryota; Metazoa; Chordata; Mammalia; Artiodactyla; Suidae
Description: lncRNA (ENSSSCG00045023240.1)
Source: RNAcentral